AGCAGCCGCGGUAAUUCCAGCUCCAAUAGCGUAUAUUAAAGUUGUUGCAGUUAAAAAGCUCGUAGUUGAAUUUCGGGAUCAGUACGUUGGUCGUGCCUUGGUACGUACUGGCGUCACUGAUUCCUCCCUUCUGAAGAACCGUCAUGCCAUUAAUUUGGUGUGGCGGGGAAUCAGGACUGUUACUUUGAAAAAUUAGAGUGUUUAAAGCAGGCUCGCGCUUGAAUACAUUAGCAUGGAAUAAUGAAAUAGGACGUUAAUCCUAUUUUGUGGUUUCUAGGAUCGACGUAAUGAUUAAUAGGGAUAGUUGGGGGCAUUAGUAUUCAAUUGUCAGAGGUGAAAUUCUUGGAUUUAUUGAAGACUAACUACUGCGAAAGCAUUUGCCAAGGAUGUUUUCAUUAAUCAAGAACGAAAGUUAGGGGAUCGAAGACGAUCAGAUACCGUCGUAGUCUU
This 450-nucleotide ribosomal RNA is filed under the name uncultured Glomeromycotina. RNAcentral's name for it is "SSU rRNA". It matches the Rfam family "Eukaryotic small subunit ribosomal RNA", at positions 569 to 1027 of the family's 1831-position model. Lineage: Eukaryota; Fungi; Glomeromycota. The record is from RNAcentral.